GAUGAACGCUGGCGGCGUGCCUAAUACAUGCAAGUCGAGCGAACAGAUGAGGAGCUUGCUCCUCUGACGUUAGCGGCGGACGGGUGAGUAACACGUGGAUAACCUACCUAUAAGACUGGGAUAACUUCGGGAAACCGGAGCUAAUACCGGAUAAUAUAUUGAACCGCAUGGUUCAAUAGUGAAAGACGGUUUUGCUGUCACUUAUAGAUGGAUCCGCGCCGCAUUAGCUAGUUGGUAAGGUAACGGCUUACCAAGGCGACGAUGCGUAGCCGACCUGAGAGGGUGAUCGGCCACACUGGAACUGAGACACGGUCCAGACUCCUACGGGAGGCAGCAGUAGGGAAUCUUCCGCAAUGGGCGAAAGCCGGACGGAGCAACGCCGCGUGAGUGAUGAAGGUCUUCGGAUCGUAAAACUCUGUUAUUAGGGAAGAACAAAUGUGUAAGUAACUAUGCACGUCUUGACGGUACCUAAUCAGAAAGCCACGGCUAACUACGUG
Molecule: ribosomal RNA, 497 nt
Filed under: uncultured bacterium
Lineage: Bacteria
Description: partial 16S ribosomal RNA
Rfam family: Bacterial small subunit ribosomal RNA
Source: RNAcentral